UGUAAACUGCAUACUGCUUUGAACAUCGACAUCUUGAACGCAUAUUGCGGCCAUGGGUUAGCCUGUGGCCACGCCUGUCCGAGGGUCGGCUUAUAAACUAUCACGACGCCCAAAAAGUCGUGGCUUGGGUUUUGCCAGCUGGCGUGAUUUCCUCUAUGACUUGUCAUGUGAGGUGCCAGAUCUAUGGCGUUUCCCCAAUGUAUCCGGACGCAUCCAUGUCUCGGCUGAAAGCCAUGGUGGGAUGUGGUGACGGAAUCGUGGUUUAAUAUGGCUAUGCCCCGUUUUCAGCAUGUUUGGCGCUUCUAGUCGGCAUGCAUAUGACUACGGGUGGAGCUGUGAUCGGGGUGGUGCCUCGUUUUCAGUGUGUUUGGCGCUUCUAGUCGGCAUACUUAUGAACUCGAGGGUAAUUCCAUACCAGGCACGUUUCGUUGCUUUCAUUCUGUCAUUGGUUGUAGGCUGGCUUGGGCCAUGCAUCCGAUGUUGCAUUGAACAUUACAGCUGCUUGUUUUGCAGCUUGUAUCCUGACCUCGGUUCAGACGUGAUUACCCGCUGAACUUAAGCAUAUCACUAAGCGGAGGAAAA
This 582-nucleotide ribosomal RNA is filed under the name Echinostoma revolutum. Its description in RNAcentral is "eukaryotic LSU rRNA". The stretch from base 1 to 88 matches the Rfam family "5.8S ribosomal RNA", at positions 66 to 154 of the family's 154-position model. Lineage: Eukaryota; Metazoa; Platyhelminthes; Trematoda; Plagiorchiida; Echinostomatidae. The record is from RNAcentral.